RNAcentral lists this ribosomal RNA (325 nucleotides) under Mediterraneibacter gnavus. RNAcentral describes it as "bacterial SSU rRNA". It matches the Rfam family "Bacterial small subunit ribosomal RNA", at positions 1209 to 1533 of the family's 1533-position model. Lineage: Bacteria; Bacillati; Bacillota; Clostridia; Lachnospirales; Lachnospiraceae. The record is from RNAcentral.
CAGGGCUACACACGUGCUACAAUGGCGUAAACAAAGGGAAGCGAGCCCGCGAGGGGGAGCAAAUCCCAAAAAUAACGUCUCAGUUCGGAUUGUAGUCUGCAACUCGACUACAUGAAGCUGGAAUCGCUAGUAAUCGCGAAUCAGAAUGUCGCGGUGAAUACGUUCCCGGGUCUUGUACACACCGCCCGUCACACCAUGGGAGUCAGUAACGCCCGAAGUCAGUGACCCAACCGUAAGGAGGGAGCUGCCGAAGGUGGGACCGAUAACUGGGGUGAAGUCGUAACAAGGUAGCCGUAUCGGAAGGUGCGGCUGGAUCACCUCCUUU